GAGAGCACCACGGUCUGCCCCCCAUCGACCCACUCCCAGCCGGGUGGUCCUCCCCCCGAACGCAGGUUCCAGCUGUGGCUGCCCUGUGUCGCCCUCUCUGGCGGCAGUCAGUGCUGCCUGGUCCUGCUGGUCGGGCAGUAGUCCCCCCAGCUCACCACAGCCUGGCCCGCCCAAAGCCCAGGACCAGGACACUAGUGCGCACCGUCAUCCCGCUGUACCUCUCUCGGAGGGCGAUCACCCCCCUCACC
This 248-nucleotide long non-coding RNA is filed under the name Selaginella moellendorffii. RNAcentral's name for it is "long non-coding RNA (SMOE_LNC000059)". The record is from RNAcentral. Lineage: Eukaryota; Viridiplantae; Streptophyta; Lycopodiopsida; Selaginellales; Selaginellaceae.